UACGAAGGGGGCUAGCGUUGCUCGGGAAUCACUGGGCGUAAAGGGUGCGUAGGCGGGUCUUAAGUCAGGGGUGAAAUCCCAGAGCUCAACUCUGGAACUGCCUUUGAUACUGGGUAUCUUGAGUAUGGAAGAGGUAAGUGGAAUUGCGAGUGUAGAGGUGAAAUUCGUAGAUAUUCGCAGGAACACCAGUGGCGAAGGCGGCU
Molecule: ribosomal RNA, 203 nt
Filed under: uncultured bacterium
Lineage: Bacteria
Description: partial 16S ribosomal RNA
Rfam family: Bacterial small subunit ribosomal RNA
Source: RNAcentral